Molecule: ribosomal RNA, 1756 nt
Filed under: Pseudomonas chlororaphis
Lineage: Bacteria; Pseudomonadati; Pseudomonadota; Gammaproteobacteria; Pseudomonadales; Pseudomonadaceae
Description: bacterial LSU rRNA
Rfam family: Bacterial large subunit ribosomal RNA
Source: RNAcentral
GUUAUAUGGUCAAGUGAAGAAGCGCAUACGGUGGAUGCCUUGGCAGUCAGAGGCGAUGAAAGACGUGGUAGCCUGCGAUAAGCUUCGGGGAGUCGGCAAACAGACUUUGAUCCGGAGAUCUCUGAAUGGGGGAACCCAGCCAUCAUAAGAUGGUUAUCUUGUACUGAAUACAUAGGUGCAAGAGGCGAACCAGGGGAACUGAAACAUCUAAGUACCCUGAGGAAAAGAAAUCAACCGAGAUUCCCUUAGUAGUGGCGAGCGAACGGGGACUAGCCCUUAAGUGGCUUUGAGAUUAGCGGAACGCUCUGGAAAGUGCGGCCAUAGUGGGUGAUAGCCCUGUACGCGAAAGUCUCUUAGUCAUGAAAUCGAGUAGGACGGAGCACGAGAAACUUUGUCUGAAUAUGGGGGGACCAUCCUCCAAGGCUAAAUACUACUGACUGACCGAUAGUGAACUAGUACCGUGAGGGAAAGGCGAAAAGAACCCCGGAGAGGGGAGUGAAAUAGAUCCUGAAACCGUAUGCGUACAAGCAGUGGGAGCAGACUUUGUUCUGUGACUGCGUACCUUUUGUAUAAUGGGUCAGCGACUUAUAUUCAGUGGCGAGCUUAACCGAAUAGGGGAGGCGUAGCGAAAGCGAGUGUUAAUAGCGCGUUUAGUCGCUGGGUAUAGACCCGAAACCGGGCGAUCUAUCCAUGGGCAGGUUGAAGGUUGGGUAACACUAACUGGAGGACCGAACCGACUACCGUUGAAAAGUUAGCGGAUGACCUGUGGAUCGGAGUGAAAGGCUAAUCAAGCUCGGAGAUAGCUGGUUCUCCUCGAAAGCUAUUUAGGUAGCGCCUCAUGUAUCACUGUAGGGGGUAGAGCACUGUUUCGGCUAGGGGGUCAUCCCGACUUACCAAACCGAUGCAAACUCCGAAUACCUACAAGUGCCGAGCAUGGGAGACACACGGCGGGUGCUAACGUCCGUCGUGAAAAGGGAAACAACCCAGACCGUCAGCUAAGGUCCCAAAGUUAUGGUUAAGUGGGAAACGAUGUGGGAAGGCUUAGACAGCUAGGAGGUUGGCUUAGAAGCAGCCACCCUUUAAAGAAAGCGUAAUAGCUCACUAGUCGAGUCGGCCUGCGCGGAAGAUGUAACGGGGCUCAAACCAUACACCGAAGCUACGGGUAUCACGUAAGUGAUGCGGUAGAGGAGCGUUCUGUAAGCCUGUGAAGGUGAGUUGAGAAGCUUGCUGGAGGUAUCAGAAGUGCGAAUGCUGACAUGAGUAACGACAAUGGGUGUGAAAAACACCCACGCCGAAAGACCAAGGUUUCCUGCGCAACGUUAAUCGACGCAGGGUUAGUCGGUCCCUAAGGCGAGGCUGAAAAGCGUAGUCGAUGGAAAACAGGUUAAUAUUCCUGUACUUCUAGUUAUUGCGAUGGAGGGACGGAGAAGGCUAGGCCAGCUUGGCGUUGGUUGUCCAAGUUUAAGGUGGUAGGCUGGAAUCUUAGGUAAAUCCGGGGUUCUAAGGCCGAGAGCUGAUGACGAGUUACCUUUUAGGUGACGAAGUGGUUGAUGCCAUGCUUCCAAGAAAAGCUUCUAAGCUUCAGAUAACUAGGAACCGUACCCCAAACCGACACAGGUGGUUGGGUAGAGAAUACCAAGGCGCUUGAGAGAACUCGGGUGAAGGAACUAGGCAAAAUGGCACCGUAACUUCGGGAGAAGGUGCGCCGGUGAGGGUGAAGGACUUGCUCCGUAAGCCCAUGCCGGUCGAAGAUACC